This 212-nucleotide ribosomal RNA is filed under the name uncultured bacterium. RNAcentral describes it as "partial 16S ribosomal RNA". It matches the Rfam family "Bacterial small subunit ribosomal RNA", at positions 524 to 734 of the family's 1533-position model. The record is from RNAcentral.
UACGUAGGGUGCAAGCGUUAAUCGGAAUUACUGGGCGUAAAGCGUGCGCGGGCGGUUUUGUAAGCCAGAUGUGAAAGCCCCGGGCUCAACCUGGGAACUGCGUUUGGAACUACAAGACUAGAGUGUGUCAGAGGGGGGUAGAAUUCCACGUGUAGCAGUGAAAUGCGUAGAGAUGUGGAGGAACACCGAUGGCGAAGGCAGCCCCCGGUCGA